RNAcentral lists this ribosomal RNA (512 nucleotides) under uncultured bacterium. RNAcentral's name for it is "partial 16S ribosomal RNA". It matches the Rfam family "Bacterial small subunit ribosomal RNA", at positions 28 to 507 of the family's 1533-position model. The record is from RNAcentral.
GAUGAACGCUGGCGGCGUGCCUAAUACAUGCAAGUCGAACGAAACUUCUUUAUCACCGAGUGCUUGCACUCACCGAUAAAGAGUUGAGUGGCGAACGGGUGAGUAACACGUGGGCAACCUGCCCAAAAGAGGGGGAUAACACUUGGAAACAGGUGCUAAUACCGCAUAACCAUAGUUACCGCAUGGUAACUAUGUAAAAGGUGGCUAUACUACCGCUUUUGGAUGGGCCCGCGGCGCAUUAGCUAGUUGGUAGGGUAAAGGCUUACCAAGGCAAUGAUGCGUAGCCGAAUUGAGAGGUUGAUCGGCCACAUUGGGACUGAGACACGGCCCAAACUCCUACGGGAGGCAGCAGUAGGGAAUCUUCCACAAUGGGCGAAAGCCUGAUGGAGCAACGCCGCGUGGGUGAAGAAGGUCUUCGGAUCGUAAAACCCUGUUGUUAGAGAAGAAAGUGCGUGAGAGUAACUGUUCACGUUUCGACGGUAUCUAACCAGAAAGUCACGGCUAACUACGUG